RNAcentral lists this ribosomal RNA (253 nucleotides) under uncultured bacterium. RNAcentral's name for it is "partial 16S ribosomal RNA". It matches the Rfam family "Bacterial small subunit ribosomal RNA", at positions 524 to 776 of the family's 1533-position model. The record is from RNAcentral.
UACGUAGGUGUCGAGCGUUGUCCGGAUUUAUUGGGCGUAAAGAGCCCGCAGGCGGCUUGGCAAGUUUGAGGUGAAAUCUCCCGGCUUAACUGGGAGGGGGCCUCGAAAACUGCCAGGCUUGAGGCAUGGAGAGGGAUGCGGAAUUCCCGGUGUAGUGGUGAAAUGCGUAGAUAUCGGGAGGAACACCAGUGGCGAAGGCGAUCACCUGGGGUUGUUCUGACGCUGAGGAGCGAAAGCUAGGGGAGCAAACGGG